Molecule: ribosomal RNA, 425 nt
Filed under: uncultured bacterium
Lineage: Bacteria
Description: partial 16S ribosomal RNA
Rfam family: Bacterial small subunit ribosomal RNA
Source: RNAcentral
GUAGGGAAUCUUGCGCAAUGGGCGAAAGCCUGACGCAGCCAUGCCGCGUGAAUGAUGAAGGUCUUAGGAUUGUAAAAUUCUUUCACCGGGGACGAUAAUGACGGUACCCGGAGAAGAAGCCCCGGCUAACUUCGUGCCAGCAGCCGCGGUAAUACGAAGGGGGCUAGCGUUGCUCGGAAUUACUGGGCGUAAAGGGAGCGUAGGCGGAUAGUUUAGUCAGAGGUGAAAGCCCAGGGCUCAACCUUGGAAUUGCCUUUGAUACUGGCUAUCUUGAGUGUGGAAGAGGUAUGUGGAACUCCGAGUGUAGAGGUGAAAUUCGUAGAUAUUCGGAAGAACACCAGUGGCGAAGGCGACAUACUGGUCCAUUACUGACGCUGAGGUGCGAAAGCAUGGGGAGCAAACAGGAUUAGAUACCCGAGUAGUCC